RNAcentral lists this ribosomal RNA (837 nucleotides) under uncultured bacterium. RNAcentral's name for it is "bacterial SSU rRNA". It matches the Rfam family "Bacterial small subunit ribosomal RNA", at positions 56 to 886 of the family's 1533-position model. The record is from RNAcentral.
UGCAGUCGAGGGGCAGCGAGGGCGUAGCAAUACGCCUGUCGGCGACCGGCGCACUGGUGAGUAACACGUAUGCGACCUGCCCCCUACAGGGGUAUAACCCGUAGAAAUGCGGACUAAUCCCCCAUAGUCCUGGGUGCUGCAUGGCAUUCAGGGGAAAGGUCAGCCGGUAGGGGAUGGGCAUGCGGCGCAUUAGCUAGUUGGCGGGGCAACGGCCCACCAAGGCGACGAUGCGUAGGGGUUCUGAGAGGAAGGUCCCCCACACUGGUACUGAGACACGGACCAGACUCCUACGGGAGGCAGCAGUGAGGAAUAUUGGUCAAUGGGCGCAGGCCUGAGCCAGCCAAGUCGCGUGAGGGAAGACGGUCCUACGGAUUGUAAACCUCUUUUGUCGGGGAGUAACGUGCGGGACGGGUCCCGUAUUGAGAGUACCCGAAGAAAAAGCAUCGGCUAACUCCGUGCCAGCAGCCGCGGUAAUACGGAGGAUGCGAGCGUUAUCCGGAUUUAUUGGGUUUAAAGGGUGCGCAGGCGGCGCGCCAAGUCAGCGGUCAAAGUUCCGGGCUCAACCCGGUGUCGCCGUUGAAACUGGCGUGCUCGAGCGCGUGCGAGGAAGGCGGAAUGCGUUGUGUAGCGGUGAAAUGCAUAGAUAUGACGCAGAACUCCGAUUGCGAAGGCAGCUUUCCAGCGCGCUACUGACGCUGAGGCACGAAAGCGUGGGGAUCGAACAGGAUUAGAUACCCUGGUAGUCCACGCAGUAAACGAUGACUACUAGCUUUCCGGGGCGACUGGGCCCUGGGAGGCACAGCGAAAGCGUUAAGUAGUCCACCUGGGGAGUACGCC